Mauremys reevesii (Reeves's turtle) is the source of this 235-nucleotide long non-coding RNA. RefSeq lists it as uncharacterized. NCBI's taxonomy places the organism in Eukaryota, Metazoa, Chordata, Testudines, Geoemydidae. The record is from RefSeq and is a predicted model, not a curated record. The transcript is spliced from 3 exons.
GCGAUUCUCAGCAAUAAACCGAAGGCGAUGUCAGUAUCCCUGUGAACCCCUGUAAAAUCAGUCCUGAGAGACUUCAAACAGCUGCCUUGGCAUUAACCCAAGACGAGGGAGCGAGUGGUCCUCCAGGACCAGGAAGAAACCUCUGAAGACAUCAGGGAACACAGGAAAAGCAGAUUUCUUCGGCUCUUUCCCGGACUGCCCCGGCAUCCCCCUCGCAGAGGCUGGCUCAGAUUAG